RNAcentral lists this ribosomal RNA (575 nucleotides) under Salmonella enterica subsp. enterica serovar Enteritidis. RNAcentral's name for it is "partial 23S ribosomal RNA". It matches the Rfam family "Bacterial large subunit ribosomal RNA", at positions 1100 to 1677 of the family's 2925-position model. RNAcentral also lists the same sequence under 2 other names. The record is from RNAcentral. Lineage: Bacteria; Pseudomonadati; Pseudomonadota; Gammaproteobacteria; Enterobacterales; Enterobacteriaceae.
GUUGGCUUAGAAGCAGCCAUCAUUUAAAGAAAGCGUAAUAGCUCACUGGUCGAGUCGGCCUGCGCGGAAGAUGUAACGGGGCUAAACCAUGCACCGAAGCUGCGGCAGCGACACUGUGUGUUGUUGGGUAGGGGAGCGUUCUGUAAGCCUGCGAAGGUGUCCCGUGAGGGAUGCUGGAGGUAUCAGAAGUGCGAAUGCUGACAUAAGUAACGAUAAAGCGGGUGAAAAGCCCGCUCGCCGGAAGACCAAGGGUUCCUGUCCAACGUUAAUCGGGGCAGGGUGAGUCGACCCCUAAGGCGAGGCCGAAAGGCGUAGUCGAUGGGAAACAGGUUAAUAUUCCCGUACUUGGUGUUACUGCGAAGGGGGGACGGAGAAGGCUAUGUUGGCCGGGCGACGGUUGUCCCGGUUUAAGCGUGUAGGCUGGUUUUCCAGGCAAAUCCGGAAAAUCAAGGCUGAGGCGUGACGACGAGGCACUACGGUGCUGAAGCAACAAAUGCCCUGCUUCCAGGAAAAGCCUCUAAGCAUCAGGUAACAUCAAAUCGUACCCCAAACCGACACAGGUGGUCAGGUAGAGA